This 433-nucleotide ribosomal RNA is filed under the name uncultured bacterium. RNAcentral describes it as "partial 16S ribosomal RNA". It matches the Rfam family "Bacterial small subunit ribosomal RNA", at positions 29 to 507 of the family's 1533-position model. The record is from RNAcentral.
AACGAACGCUGGCGGCAGGCCUAACACAUGCAAGUCGAGCGAGGACUUCGGUCCUAGCGGCGGACGGGUGAGUAACGCGUGGGAACGUGCCCUUUGCUUCGGAAUAGCCCUGGGAAACUGGGAGUAAUACCGGAUGAGCCCUUUGGGGGAAAGAUUUAUCGGCGAAGGAUCGGCCCGCGUUGAAUUAGGUAGUUGGUGGGGUAAUGGCCUACCAAGCCGACGAUCCAUAGCUGGUUUGAGAGGAUGAUCAGCCACACUGGGACUGAGACACGGCCCAGACUCCUACGGGAGGCAGCAGUGGGGAAUCUUAGACAAUGGGGGAAACCCUGAUCUAGCCAUGCCGCGUGAGCGAUGAAGGCCUUAGGGUUGUAAAGCUCUUUCAGCUGGGAAGAUAAUGACGGUACCAGCAGAAGAAGCCCCGGCUAACUCCGUG